Long non-coding RNA from Panicum hallii, 501 nucleotides. RefSeq lists it as uncharacterized. Lineage: Eukaryota; Viridiplantae; Streptophyta; Magnoliopsida; Poales; Poaceae. The record is from RefSeq and is a predicted model, not a curated record. The transcript is spliced from 2 exons.
CCUCUCUCUCGUCCCUUCCUUCCGCUUGAGCUGCCCCGUCGCCCUCCCCUCUCCCUCCCUCCGUCGGUAGGCUGGGCCGCCCUCCCCCUCCCUCCGCCGGUGAGCCGCGCCGCCCUUUCCUCCCUCCGUCGGAAAAGUGGAUGGACGUGAAGAAGAAGAUGGGAGUUCCUAUGCAUGGAAGGAAACGCGCUGCGCCUGGGAGAGGUCGUCGCACAGAUAGAAGCAAAAAUCAGAUAACCGACGAUGAUCAUGUGGGAACCGAGCUGGUCAAGUGCUGCUCAACCGACAAUGUCGCCGGGAGAUCAAGCAGUUUCAUCAAAUUCUGGCGCUCCUCUCAUGCCUGAUAUCGUCACUGUUGUUUCUCAGUUAGCUGAGCUCUGAGUUUCUGUAUACUUAGACAAGCGCGUCUCGAAUACGCCUAAACCCUUGUCUCUAAAAAUUUCUAGGGUAUUGUAAAAAAAACUAAGGACAAGGAGAGAAUAGAAUGUAAAUUUCCCUCUA